Molecule: long non-coding RNA, 780 nt
Organism: Armigeres subalbatus
Lineage: Eukaryota; Metazoa; Arthropoda; Insecta; Diptera; Culicidae
Exons: 4
Source: RefSeq, a predicted model, not a curated record
GUCCACACAUAAUGUUUUUUAAUGCAACAGCAUUUACCUAUAAAAGAAGGGUUCUGAUGUGGAAACGCGCUCCUUUUCGCUUGUGAUUCUGGACCGAUUAGUAGUGCGCGCGUGUGUAGAAUACUCCAAGAUUUUGAGGUUCAGCACCUGUACAGCUAGUUUGUUAGUAACUUAAAACUAGUGUUAAUCUGUAAAAACUGAAACGCUAAAGGUUUCUACUAUACUGCAUCUGAAAAGUGAAACUAAAACUAAACAGAGAAACUUGUAAGAAAAAGGCCCAAGAAGUGGGCCUUUUUUCUUCUACUCGGCAGUAAAGCUCGACAAGUGGCCAUUGGCCAACCUACGGCGAAAUCAAGACCUUGGAGUGAAGCGCGUCGUGGCCAGGGGAACAGCGGAAGAAACACGCAAGGGCGGUAUCCUUGGAGCAGGUUCGGAAUGCUUUCCGGAACCGUCGGUGGUCCACCAUUUUGUGGGAUCAGAGUAGCCACUUUCUGGACGUCGACGAAAGCCUCGGCGACGCCAUGUUUCCAUCAUUUUCCAGCCCGAUCCGGUGUCAUGAACGGCAUCCCGUUUCCGGAACCGUCUGAGAUUUCAAUCGUCCUUCGAAUCCCGGACGAAUCCCAGUUCCUCGAAGCGUUCCUCGUCCAAAGCCAGUGUACCACUCCUCGGCCAAAUUGAAAACUACCCCGAACAUCAGCAACGAUACAAAUUAUGCGCAAGUACCCUAACCAAACAUGUGACGUCACACAAAUAAAUAUUGUACAUAGUAAUUAAGGAAAA